This 2611-nucleotide small RNA is filed under the name Pan troglodytes (chimpanzee). RNAcentral's name for it is "retained intron". The record is from RNAcentral. Lineage: Eukaryota; Metazoa; Chordata; Mammalia; Primates; Hominidae.
AGAUCCUGGACGAGUCUGAAGACUACCGAGACACCGUGGUGAAGAGGAAGCCUGCUUCUCUGAUGGCCCCUCUGAAGCGGAAGGAGGAGUUCUCCUUGUUCAAGGUGUCUGAUGAUGAAUAUAAAGUAAAAAUCUCGCCUCAGCUGCUCUUGGCCACCCAGCGCUUCCUGUCCCGAGAAGUGGAUGUAUUCAGCCCGCUGCGCAUCUCUGAGAAGGUCCUGCUGCACCUGUUGAAGCAUCCCAGUGUCAACCAGGAAGUGAGGUUUGACGAGAGCAACCGGCUGGCCACACACCACUACCUGUACCAGCGCAGCCAGCCGGUGGAUUACUUCAUUCUCAUCCUGCAGGUAGCUGUGGGUCCCAGGCCUGGAGUCCCUCCUGCUUCCUCAGGCCAGGGAAGGGUCUAGGAGAAGAGGGGAGCAGGGGCAUGCGGAUAUGCACCCUCCCGCCCCAAACAAUUGAGGUGGUGGGUUUCUCCUUCCGCUGUCUUCUGACGGGAAAGGUAAUCUGGCUGCAUCUGUUUCUCUCCUUGCCACUCCUCCCAGGGCAGGGUUGAAGUGGAGAUCGGGAAAGAGGGUCUGAAGUUCGAGAAUGGGGCCUUCACGUACUAUGGAGUGUCGGCCCUAACUGUGCCAUCCUCGGGUAAGCCACGGCCCUGCUGGUGCUGAGGGCCAGGGUGGAGGCUGCAGAGCCUGUCCCCCAUCAUCGCUUGGGCUCUCAGUGCCCCUCCUCACCUCUCCUUCCACUUGAGCCCACCACCCCACAAGGUGGUGUAGCCCCUGGGCUUCCAGGAGGGAGGGCAGCAUUCUUCAUCGCUCAACUUUGUGGCCCACUCCACCCCCGCAAAACCUCUCCCGGCUGUGUUUGUCCUUCUCUCCCAGCUUCCCAUGCACAUCGCCUCUCCAGAGUGAUUGGUGGGGUGGGUCUUCGAAACUGUACAGUUGUCCCCACCAGGGGAGGAGGCUCCCAGCUGCCAGCAUGGCUCCUGCCAUCACUGAUUGUUCCUUUGAUAGUUCACCAGUCCCCAGUGUCCUCGCUCCAGCCCAUCCGCCAUGACCUGCAGCCCGACCCAGGUGACGGCACGCAUUCAUCUGCGUAUUGUCCCGACUACACCGUGAGGGCGCUCUCUGAUCUGCAGCUCAUCAAGGUGACUGCCUGGGCUGCUUGUGGGUGCUGGCUUUAGCCGACUUUGUGUCACCGGGGGCUAGACCAGCUGGUCUAAGACUGCCUGGAACAAGGCCUUCCACUCAUCCUGAGGGACACAGACCUUUGCACCCAGUUUCCAAGCAAGGUCUUAAAAACACUUGACUCAGUUGCUCUUCUCUGCCCUUAACUAGCUUAAAGUUGUGCCUCUGUCCUCUUCGGGCACGGUGUCACCUUUCCUGCCUACCUUCUGCGUCUCGCUUCACCAAUUGGGUCUUCAGUAACGCUGUCAUCCUCCAGGUUACGCGACUGCAGUACCUCAAUGCACUCCUGGCUACCCGAGCCCAGAACCUGCCACAGUCCCCUGAGAACACCGACCUGCAGGUUAUUCCAGGCAGCCAGACCAGGCUCCUUGGUGAGAAGACCACCACAGCGGCAGGGUCCAGCCACAGCAGGCCCGGCGUCCCGGUGGAAGGCAGCCCUGGGCGGAACCCAGGCGUUUAAUGGCUCACUAGGCAGCCCCAGAUCUGGGGAACAGAUGAGCACGUGGGGAGCUGGAGUGAGCUGAGCAGAAGUUUUGUGCCCGCCUGCCCCCAUCCCCUCCAGGCCACGUUUUAGAUGGCCCUUGUAGAUGCGGGUCCUGGGUGUCCUCAGAACUACACAUCAAUGCCUGAAUCCUUCAGCCGGCCCUGCCCUCCUUUAGGAGACAGGAGUCACCAGGGCACAGCCCUCCAGGCCCGCCUCAGGAAGGAACGAAAGGAAUGCCAUCAUCUCUAGUCCCCAGGGCCCAGCCUUCCCCUUCUCCCCCAAGGCAGGGACAGUGCAGCAUAUUCAGAUUCAGACCUCUUUGGGCCGAGCCACCUUGUGAGUGCAGUUACUGCCUUUGUGUGGCCGUGACCUCUAUUUGUUUGCUUUUAAUUUGCCAACCUAUCGCUGCUGGCAGCACUUUUUGAGCAAGCCGAGAGCACCCAUUUUGGCUGGGGGUUCAGAUCGAUGGCCUUGUCCAUGUUGUCCUUUCUGGCUUCCCUGACGGUGUCAUGUUUCAGCGCAUGCGCCCCAGCCUUUCCCAUGUGCCAAACCAGAAGCUCCACUGCCCGUAGGCUGUCCCUGUAGCCCUGCUCCCUCCCUGGAGGCUGCUCUUCUGAUUCUGAGAGCUGGCCUAGUGGUGCUGAGGGCCCCUUUCUGCUUCUCUGCCCACCUGCUGAGUUGCCACUCGCAGUGUUGUCAGUUCCCGUGUUCUGAGAAGAGGUCAUGCCUGGGAGGAAGGGAUCGUCAUGCUGCAUCGAAUCCUCUCUCCGCCGUGUGGCCCCCAGGAGAGUAGCUGCCUGUUGCACCUGCUCCACACCUCCCCACAGCCUCCCUGCAGGUGCUGUGUGGCCGUGAUGUGCAGAGAGCAGUGAGGGAGGGUUCAUGAACCAGGUGGAUCCUCUUUAAAAAAAAAAAAUCCGUUUUUGUUAUAUCUCUAGAA